GGUUAGUAAUUAACUGUACCGAAGACAGUAGGUGGCGUAAGCCUUAAUUUCCUACCGAGGACAUUUAUUGAGAACAUUCAAUAGUCCCUCUAUGUCUACGGUGGCAUAGGGUAUUUUUUUGUAAAAA
This is a regulatory RNA element of Enterococcus pallens ATCC BAA-351, 127 nucleotides long. It matches the Rfam family "Ribosomal protein L10 leader". From Rfam's summary of the family: This family is a putative r-protein leader autoregulatory structure found in B. subtilis and other low-GC Gram-positive bacteria. It is located in the 5' untranslated regions of mRNAs encoding ribosomal proteins L10 and L12 (rplJ-rplL). Lineage: Bacteria; Bacillati; Bacillota; Bacilli; Lactobacillales; Enterococcaceae. The record is from Rfam.